Long non-coding RNA from Octopus sinensis (East Asian common octopus), 229 nucleotides. RefSeq lists it as uncharacterized. NCBI's taxonomy places the organism in Eukaryota, Metazoa, Mollusca, Cephalopoda, Octopoda, Octopodidae. The transcript has 3 exons. The record is from RefSeq and is a predicted model, not a curated record.
AUCCGACGUACAUAGAGUCGGGCAAAAGAGCUGAAUGGGUACAGACACGAUGAGAACAACUCUAAAGGCAUACUAUUGUGAUGCAUGUGUAGAACUGGGUGCAUGCAAAGAAAGUUCAUUCUGCGGCUGUUCAAAAUGUUCCAUGUGUGGGCUUCCAUAAAUUUAUCCGGUUAGUUCUUGGUCGGAUAGCUGUUCGAAAUGCUGUAUUUACUUAUUUCAGAGGUUUCUC